Molecule: transfer RNA, 84 nt
Filed under: Nitrososphaerota archaeon
Lineage: Archaea; Thermoproteati; Nitrososphaerota
Description: tRNA-Leu
Rfam family: tRNA
About the family: Transfer RNA (tRNA) molecules are approximately 80 nucleotides in length.
Source: RNAcentral
GGAGACGUAGGCAAGUGGUUAACGCCAGCGGCCUUAGAAGCCGCGCCCGAAGGGGCUGCGCAGGUCCGAAUCCUGCCGUCUCCA